RNAcentral lists this ribosomal RNA (467 nucleotides) under uncultured bacterium. RNAcentral describes it as "partial 16S ribosomal RNA". It matches the Rfam family "Bacterial small subunit ribosomal RNA", at positions 28 to 507 of the family's 1533-position model. The record is from RNAcentral.
GAUGAACGCUGGCGGCGUGCUUAACACAUGCAAGUCGAACGGAAAGGCCCAAGCUUGCUUGGGUACUCGAGUGGCGAACGGGUGAGUAACACGUGGGUGAUCUGCCCUGCACUUCGGGAUAAGCCUGGGAAACUGGGUCUAAUACCGGAUAGGACCACUUCUUGGAUGUUGUGGUGGAAAGUUUUUUCGGUGUGGGAUGAGCUCGCGGCCUAUCAGCUUGUUGGUGGGGUAAUGGCCUACCAAGGCGUCGACGGGUAGCCGGCCUGAGAGGGUGUACGGCCACAUUGGGACUGAGAUAAGGCCCAGACUCCUACGGGAGGCAGCAGUGGGGAAGAUUGCACAAGGGGCGCAAGCCUGAUGCAGCGACGCCGCGGGGGGGAUGACGGCCUUCGGGUUGUAAACUCCUUUCGCUAGGGACGAAGCGUUUUGUGACGGUACCUGGAGAAGAAGCACCGGCUAACUACGUG